RNAcentral lists this ribosomal RNA (277 nucleotides) under uncultured bacterium. Its description in RNAcentral is "partial 16S ribosomal RNA". It matches the Rfam family "Bacterial small subunit ribosomal RNA", at positions 28 to 302 of the family's 1533-position model. The record is from RNAcentral.
GACGAACGCUGGCGGCGUGCUUAACACAUGCAAGUCGAGCGGUAAGGCCCUUUCGGGGGUACGACGAGCGGCGAACGGGUGAGUAACACGUGGGUGACCUGCCCUUAGCUCUGGGAUAAGCCUGGGAAACGUAGGGUCGUAAUACCGGAUAUGACUCCAUGACGCAUGUUGUGGGGUGGAAAGCCUUGUGCGGCUAGGGAUGGGCCCGCGGCCUAUCAGCUUGUUGGUGGGGUGAUGGCCUACCAAGGCGACGACGGGUAGCCGGCCUGAGAGGGCG